This 1360-nucleotide ribosomal RNA is filed under the name Modicisalibacter luteus. RNAcentral describes it as "bacterial SSU rRNA". It matches the Rfam family "Bacterial small subunit ribosomal RNA", at positions 71 to 1426 of the family's 1533-position model. The record is from RNAcentral. Lineage: Bacteria; Pseudomonadati; Pseudomonadota; Gammaproteobacteria; Oceanospirillales; Halomonadaceae.
GAUCCUAGCUUGCUAGGAGGCGUCGAGCGGCGGACGGGUGAGUAAUGCAUAGGAAUCUGCCCGAUAGUGGGGGAUAACCUGGGGAAACUCAGGCUAAUACCGCAUACGUCCUACGGGAGAAAGCGGGGGCUCUUCGGACCUCGCGCUAUCGGAUGAGCCUAUGCCGGAUUAGCUAGUUGGUAGGGUAACGGCCUACCAAGGCGACGAUCCGUAGCUGGUCUGAGAGGAUGAUCAGCCACACUGGGACUGAGACACGGCCCAGACUCCUACGGGAGGCAGCAGUGGGGAAUAUUGGACAAUGGGCGAAAGCCUGAUCCAGCCAUGCCGCGUGUGUGAAGAAGGCCUUCGGGUUGUAAAGCACUUUCAGCGAGGAAGAAGGCCUGGUGGCCAAUACCCGCCAGGAGCGACAUCACUCGCAGAAGAAGCACCGGCUAACUCCGUGCCAGCAGCCGCGGUAAUACGGAGGGUGCGAGCGUUAAUCGGAAUUACUGGGCGUAAAGCGCGCGUAGGUGGCUUGAUAAGCCGGUUGUGAAAGCCCCGGGCUCAACCUGGGAACGGCAUCCGGAACUGUUAGGCUAGAGUGCAGGAGAGGAAGGUAGAAUUCCCGGUGUAGCGGUGAAAUGCGUAGAGAUCGGGAGGAAUACCAGUGGCGAAGGCGGCCUUCUGGACUGACACUGACACUGAGGUGCGAAAGCGUGGGUAGCAAACAGGAUUAGAUACCCUGGUAGUCCACGCCGUAAACGAUGUCGACUAGCCGUUGGGAGCCUCGAGUUCUUAGUGGCGCAGUUAACGCGAUAAGUCGACCGCCUGGGGAGUACGGCCGCAAGGUUAAAACUCAAAUGAAUUGACGGGGGCCCGCACAAGCGGUGGAGCAUGUGGUUUAAUUCGAUGCAACGCGAAGAACCUUACCUACCCUUGACAUCCUCGGAACUUGGCAGAGAUGCCUUGGUGCCUUCGGGAACCGAGAGACAGGUGCUGCAUGGCUGUCGUCAGCUCGUGUUGUGAAAUGUUGGGUUAAGUCCCGUAACGAGCGCAACCCCUAUCCCUAUUUGCCAGCGAUUCGGUCGGGAACUCUAGGGAGACUGCCGGUGACAAACCGGAGGAAGGUGGGGACGACGUCAAGUCAUCAUGGCCCUUACGGGUAGGGCUACACACGUGCUACAAUGGCAGGUACAAAGGGUUGCAAGACGGCGACGUGGAGCUAAUCCCAUAAAGCCUGCCUCAGUCCGGAUCGGAGUCUGCAACUCGACUCCGUGAAGUCGGAAUCGCUAGUAAUCGUGAAUCAGAAUGUCACGGUGAAUACGUUCCCGGGCCUUGUACACACCGCCCGUCACACCAUGGGAGUGGACUGCACCAGAAG